UACGUAGGGUGCAAGCGUUGUCCGGAAUUAUUGGGCGUAAAGAGCUCGUAGGCGGUCUGUCGCGUCGGAUGUGAAAACCCAGGGCUCAACCCUGGGCCUGCAUUCGAUACGGGCAGACUAGAGUUCGGUAGGGGAGACUGGAAUUCCUGGUGUAGCGGUGAAAUGCGUAGAGAUCGGGAGGAACACCAGUGGCGCAAGCGGCCCCCAAGCCUGAACCUGACGCUGAAGCGCGACAGCGUGGGGAGCAAACGGG
This 253-nucleotide ribosomal RNA is filed under the name uncultured bacterium. RNAcentral describes it as "partial 16S ribosomal RNA". It matches the Rfam family "Bacterial small subunit ribosomal RNA", at positions 524 to 776 of the family's 1533-position model. The record is from RNAcentral.